Molecule: ribosomal RNA, 694 nt
Filed under: uncultured bacterium
Lineage: Bacteria
Description: bacterial SSU rRNA
Rfam family: Bacterial small subunit ribosomal RNA
Source: RNAcentral
AACGCUAGCUACAGGCUUAACACAUGCAAGUUGAGGGGCAGCAUGGUCUUAGCUUGCUAAGGCCGAUGGCGACCGGCGCACGGGUGAGUAACACGUAUCCAACCUGCCGUCUACUCUUGGACAGCCUUCUGAAAGGAAGAUUAAUACAAGAUGGCAUCAUGAGUCCGCAUGUUCACAUGAUUAAAGGUAUUCCGGUAGACGAUGGGGAUGCGUUCCAUUAGAUAGUAGGCGGGGUAACGGCCCACCUAGUCUUCGAUGGAUAGGGGUUCUGAAAGGAAGGUCCCCCACAUUGGAACUGAAACACGGUCCAAACUCCUACGGGAGGCAGCAGUGAGGAAUAUUGGUCAAUGGGCGAGAGCCUGAACCAGCCAAGUAGCGUGAAGGAUGACUGCCCUAUGGGUUGUAAACUUCUUUUAUAAAGGAAUAAAGUCGGGUAUGUAUACCCGUUUGCAUGUACUUUAUGAAUAAGGAUCGGCUAACUCCGUGCCAGCAGCCGCGGUAAUACGGAGGAUCCGAGCGUUAUCCGGAUUUAUUGGGUUUAAAGGGAGCGUAGAUGGAUGUUUAAGUCAGUUGUGAAAGUUUGCGGCUCAACCGUAAAAUUGCAGUUGAUACUGGAUAUCUUGAGUGCAGUUGAGGCAGGCGGAAUUCGUGGUGUAGCGGUGAAAUGCUUAGAUAUCACGAAGAACUCCGAUUG